CGAGUCGACCGGGCGGUCGCGUCGGCGGGCCCCGGCCCGCCGCCGAGGAACGUCCGGACUCCACAGGGCAGGGUGGUUGCUAACGGCAACCCGGGGCGACCCGCGGGACAGUGCCACAGAAAACAGACCGCCGGCCCCAUCGGGGACGGUAAGGGUGAAACGGUGGGGUAAGAGCCCACCAGCACCCCGGGUGACCGGGGUGGCUCGGUAAACCCCACCCGGAGCAAGGCCAAGAAAGGGUCGCCGACCGGCAGGACGACGACCCGCGCAGACGCUCGAGGGCUGCCCGUCCGAUGUCUGCGGGUAGGCCGCUGGAGCCUGUCGGCAACGGCAGGCCGAGAUGGAUGACCGCCGCCGGCGCCGCCCCCCGGGGCGCGCCGCGCACAGAAUCCGGCGUACAGGUCGACUCGUCCG
Molecule: RNase P RNA, 414 nt
Filed under: Micromonospora globbae
Lineage: Bacteria; Bacillati; Actinomycetota; Actinomycetes; Micromonosporales; Micromonosporaceae
Description: Bacterial RNase P class A
Rfam family: Bacterial RNase P class A
About the family: Ribonuclease P (RNase P) is a ubiquitous endoribonuclease, found in archaea, bacteria and eukarya as well as chloroplasts and mitochondria. Its best characterised activity is the generation of mature 5'-ends of tRNAs by cleaving the 5'-leader elements of precursor-tRNAs. Cellular RNase Ps are ribonucleoproteins.
Source: Rfam by way of RNAcentral